This is an RNA transcript of Brassica rapa (field mustard), 11719 nucleotides long. It is a transcript of the gene named zinc finger protein ZAT8, with no coding region annotated. The record is from RefSeq and is a predicted model, not a curated record. Lineage: Eukaryota; Viridiplantae; Streptophyta; Magnoliopsida; Brassicales; Brassicaceae.
ACAUAUAUUCACUUCCCGUAUGAGACAUUUAGAAGUUUUGUUCUUCAACCAAAUUUUCUAAAAUGUCUUUCUACUUUGAUUCAAGAGAGUGGAUGGAUCAAAGGAUUGAUCCUCAGAGUAAUUCUGUUUCAGAAGUGUUUCUUGGAGGCAUCAAUGCAUUUCUUCAAUUUGCGUGUAAUCAAGCCGAUUAUGAAGAGCGGCAAACAUUAUUGUGUCCGUGUGCUCGAUGCAAAAAUGUGAAGCAACGAGAUGCAAAAGUUGUUUCAAGACAUCUAUUCUUAUACGGUUUUAAGGGAAAUUAUUAUGUUUGGACAAGUCAUGGAGAGAAAUUCUACACUGUUGGUGAGAGUUCUGGAGCGAAUCAUUCAACGGGUGAAGAAGAAAUGUGGGAAAAUCCUAAUUGGAAUGCUCAUGAAGAUCACUACCAGGAUAAUUUAGAAGUACCAGCGGACAUUGCGCCACCAUACAUACCAGCAGACAUUGCACCACCAGCAGAGACGGAUGUGGCAGAGCCAUAUCGUGACAAUGUUUUUGAAGCAUUUGAAGCUGCCAGUCAACCUCUCUACGAAGGGUGUGCAGACGGAAUAAGUCAGUUCUCUCUUACUUCGCGGAUGUUGAAAAUGAAGACGGAUUAUAAUUUGGCGGAAACUUGUGUAGAUGAGAUAUCUGAAGUAUUUAAAACAAUGCUUCCGCAGCCGAAUAAUGCUCCAGCAACAUACUACGAGACAAAGAAACUGACACGAGGGCUUGGUUUACCCGUUCAGAAGAUUGAUGUUUGUGUGAAGAAUUGUAUGCUAUUUUGGAAAGAAGAUGCGAAGUUGGUUAGUUGUAGGCUUUGUGGAGAAGAUCGCUACUAUCCGAACAAUGGAAAAGGAAAAAACAAGCCAAAGCAGAGAAUGUUUUACAUGCCUAUUGCAGAUCGUCUGAAACGUCUAUACCAACUUGAGGCGACAGCUUCCAAUAUGCGGUGGCAUAAGGAACAUGUGACUCCGGAAGGCGAAAUGCAUCACCCAUCUGAUGCUAUAGCGUGGAAACAUUUUAACGAGGUAUAUCCUGGAUUUGCUGCUGAAAGCCGGAAUAUUUAUCUAUGCCUAUCGACCGAUGGAUUUAAUCCGAUUGGUAUGAAUGGGGAAGCACAUUCCCUUUGGCCCGUUAUUGUAACUCCAUACAAUUUACCGCCGGGAAUGUGUAUGAAAAGAGAAUUCCUUUACCUUUCGGUGCUAAUUCCUGGACCCAAACACCCAAGAAAAAGCUUAGAUAUUUACAUUCAACCAUUGAUUGAAGAAUUACAGAUGUUGUGGAGGAAUGGUGUGGAGGCAUAUGAUAUUUCAAUGAAAGAAAGAUUCAAAAUGCGAGCAGUUUUGAUGUGGACGAUAAGCGAUUUUCCAGCUUAUGGAAUGCUUUCAGGUUGGACGACUCAUGGUCGGUUGGCGUGCCCAUAUUGUCAAGAUGAGACUGGUGCAUUCUGGUUAUCUAACGGAAGGAAACAUAGAUGGUUUGAUUACCAUAGAAGGUUCUUAGAUGCAAAUCAUCCUUACCGGAAAAACACUCAAGCAUUUAGACGGGGAAAAACAGUUUUAGAUCCUCCUCCACCAUGGUUGACCGGAGAAGAAAUAUUGCGUGAAAGGAUAAAUAAUAUCGAAGGUUUAUCAUCAUCUGUGGAAUGUGGAGGGAAUGGACAUGAUAACCCAUCCAAGACAAUAUCUGGAUAUGGAGUUACUCACAAUUGGGUAAAGAAGAGUAUCUUCUGGGAGUUACCGUAUUGGGAAAAUCAUCUUCUUCGGCAUAGCCUUGAUUUCAUGCAUAUUGAGAAAAACUUCUUCGACAACCUGACGAACACAUUGUUAAAUGCUCCUGGAAAGACGAAAGACAACAUCAAAAGCAGAUUGGAUCUUCCAGGACUAUGCAAAAGGCGGGAUUUAGAGAUGAAGGAGGAUGGAACGAUGCCUGUGCCAAUAUUCAGGCUGCCUAAUGCGGAAAAACGAGCAUUUCUUCUCUGGUUGAAAAAUGACAUAAAAUUUCCCGAUGGAUACGCCUCGAAAUUUAGUCGAUGUAUUGACGAAAACAAUUUAAAGUUACAUGGACUGAAAAGUCAUGAUUGUCAUGUCAUAAUGGAACGACUAUAUCCAUUUGCGUUUGCUGAACUCCUUCCCAAAAAUGUUCACACAGCGAUUAGAGGUAUUUAUUUGUUUGUAUCAUUUUUUAAUUUACUAUAAUUGAUGCUAUAAUUAACUUAAAUAUUUUGUUUACAGAUAUUGCUCUCUUCUUCCGAGAUAUCUCUUCGAAGAUUUUGAAAGAGUCAGAUGUUGGCCUAUUAAAGGCAAAUAUCGGUGUGAAGCUUUGUAACUUGGAAAAAAUAUUUCCUCCAUCGUUCUUCGAUGUUAUGGAACAUCUUCUUGUGCACCUCCCAGAUGAAGUAGCCUUAGGUGGUCCUGUCCAUUUUAGGUGGAUGUAUGUAUUUGAGAGAUACAUGUAUCAUUUGAAGCAGAUGGUCAAAAACAAAGCACGUAUUGCAGGUUCAAUAGUUGCACAAUGGAUAAAUGAGGAGAUUUCUAAUGCGUCCUCAAAUUUUUUUGGGCAUCCUGAAAUCAUGAGCAUUCCAGAAGGUCCGAAUGAUAUUCGUUUCACAUACAAUUAUCCGGAUGUACCCCCCUUGUUUUACCAUGAAGGGAGAAUUAGUGGUCAAUGCUCAACUGGUUGGUUGAAUGAUGAAGAUAACACUAUUCUUCAGACAUUUAUGAUGCUCAACUGUGAAACAUUUGCUCCAUAUGAAAGGUAAUUUAAUAUUAUGAAGAAUAUAAUAUAAAUACAUAUUUCUAGUUACAUAACUAUGAUUUGUCUGUGUGCAGGAUGUUUGAAGAAUAUAUGACGUUAAAUGUUCCUGAUAUUACUCCAGUUGCAAUGCAAAAAGCGAAAGACACCAAAUUUGCUGAUUGGUGCAAGGACUACGUGAGUUAUUGUUUUAUAUUAUAAAGUUUCACAAUUUUUUUAAUUAAAUUUGUAUUUUAUAACAAUGUUAUUGUAUUACAGAUUAAUGAUGCGAUUCAGUUUUACACAUUUCCUAUGUGGAUGUUGGAUUUUGUACAAGGUCCAAGGCGUAGUUACAGGUCUUGGCCAAUAUACCACACACGUGGAUACACUUUCCACACUCAUAACCAUGGUCAAAAUAAGAGAACUCAACAUUAUGGUGUAUGUGUACCUGGAACCAACGAGACAGACUACUAUGGUCUUGUACAAGAGAUCAUGAUGGUAGAGUAUCAUGGUGAUGUUGGCUUGAAAGUCAUGGUUUUUAAAUGUUCGUGGUUUGACAACACAACAAAUCGCGGUAUGAGAAUACAUCCAUUUGGUCUUGUUGAUGUCUCACCACGAAGACAAUAUGCAAAAUAUGAUCCUUUUGUAUUAUCAGGUAAGUGAAAAAUAUAUAAUUAUUUCUUUGGGAUUUGAUAUUAUUGAUGAAACUAUGAUGUUAUUGUACUAUAAACAGGUAAUUGUGAUCAAGCAUGUUUUAUUCCUUAUCCACGGGUACGUCGACAGUCAGUCGAUGAUUGGUGGGCAUGCGCAAAAAUUAUUCCCCGAGGAAUCCGUGAAACACCAGAAAUUGCGUUAACGGCAUGGCAAGAUGAUAGACGUGAUCAGGUUGCUGAAAGUUCAUUGUUACGGGUGGAGACACAUGUUGUUGAUGAUGUGUCUGAUUAUGAUAUUGCUCCGGUGAAUCCUCCAAACGAUGAAUAUGUAUCUGAUGGUGAUGUAGAAGCAGACCGUGAUUCAGAUGAUGAUUCAGAAUAGAAAACUAUAUUCCAAGACUGUAAAAUAUGUGUUUAAGGUAGUAAGAUAUGUUUUAAGGUUGAAAAAUAAGUUGUAAGGUUGUAAAAUAAGUUGUAAGGUUGAAAAAUAAGUUGUAAGGUUGUGAAAUAUAUUGUGAGAUGUAAAAUAAAUGGUAAGGUUGUAAAAUAUAUGGUUUAAACAAAUAUUGUAAGGUUUUAAAAUAGAUUGUAAGAUUUUUGGAAUAUGUAUGUAAGUUGUUGUGUGAGUAUAAGGUUGAGGGAAAGGGUUUAAGGAUUAUAGUUUAGGUGUUAGAUGUUCGUGGUUUCGGGUUUUGAAAUAAGCCACGCUUAUUUCGUGGCUUUUUAGUGGCUAUGUGAAAAUUGGAAAAAACCAAUUGGUUUGCCUCCAAUGUAUUUGGUUCUGGCUCCAAUUAUUUUUAGUUUCGCGGUUUAUAUUAAAAAUAGCCACUACAUUUUUGUGGCAUUGUCGUGGCUAAUUGGAAAUUUUGGUUUGCCAAUUGGUUUGCCUCCAAUUUAUUCGGUUGUGGCUCCAAUUAUUUGACAUUUCGUGGUUAAUGCUAAAACCAAACCACGAUCUGCCACGCUGUUUUCGUGGCUCUGCUGAAAGAGUUUAUAUCGGUUUUCCUCUUGCUUCUAACACUUAGCACAGAAGAGAAACCGAAACUCUCUCUCGACUCGCGACUGACGAAACGCGUCGUCUUCUCCGGUUUCAAGUCUCCCAUUCCAAGCGUCACCGUCUCCCAUUCCAAGCGUCACCGUCUCCCGUCUCUCAUUUCUCAAGGUAACCUCUUUCUCUCCUCCGCUAAAUCAGAAAUCUUAGGAUCCCGAAUCGAUUAGAUGUUCUAGGGUUUUGAUUUCUUCGCUUCUGUGUGUGUUUCGAUUUCACAUGCAAUUUAAGGUUUCGAUUUCGUUCCAAUCUAGGGUUUUGAUUUCGUUCCAAACUUGGGUUUCGAUUAGGGGUUUUGUCUCUGUCUAGUUAGUGUUCUUGUGACCAAAAAAAUUGUCUAAAUUUCUCAUGUUCUUCUCUCUGUCUCUUUUGUUUCGCUUUGUCUCUGUUUAUAUUUGUUUGUAUACUAAUGUUUCUUUGUCAUUGGUUGUUAACAGAUGAACUCACCAAGAGUACCUCCUCCUAUGCCUCCUGGUGCUACUGGACCGGCUUCUAUGCCUCCUGGUGCUACUGGACCGGCUUCUAUGCCUCCUGGUGCUACUGGACCGGCUUCGAACCGUGCUGCUUCCUCUUCUCGUUCCAAUAGCUACCCGCGGAUGACUCUCAAUGCCAUGCUCAAUUCACCUGCUAGGCUAGCACAGCCUCAUCUCCAUCCAGAUAAAAUCAAUGGAGCUUUAUGGUAAGAUUACAUUUGGUCUCCAUCUCUUUCUUAGACUAAAAUAGUUUAUGUUAAUUGUUUUAUGGCUGUGAUUGCUUAGGAUAGUUUCUGUUUAGGAUUGUUAGCGAUGAUUGUUUAUUUUUUAGGAUUUUUUGUGAUGUAUUGUUUCUGUUACUGAUGUUGGUUAUCGAUUUAGGUUUGGUAUUGACCCAUGUGUCAACUCUUUCAUUCGGGCAACUUGGCAAGCGUACUACAUGGGGCCUUGGAAGAGUUGGAGGACGGUUCCUGAUGAAAGGAGGGAAUCAUGGUGGCAAACCUUUGUGGUAAGUGACUAGUAUACAUUGUAUAUGCUGUUAACAUGUUUUAAAAUCGCUAACUGUUUUUCUUUCUUUUGUAGCAAAAUUUCUAUUGGGACCCUGAGUUUAAUGACUUAGUCUACGGUCUUUGGAAGAAAGAAACGUGGACAACCAUUGGUGAAAGGAUAAGCAAGAAGAAGAGGCAACAUAAGAAGCCAAAGUACAUCAAUGAAGCUGACUGGACUCUCCUGUUAGAGUAUUGGGCGACCGAGGCAGCUAAAAAGAAGAGCAAGAAGGCUGCAAAAUCUCGCAAGUCUGAUCCUGUGGGUAAAGGCUGCCACAAGCAUAAUGCAGGACCUCGGUCUUUUGCAAGGAUUGAGUAUAACAUGGUAUCUUUCCAUGUCUAUACUCUUAAUAAUGUUCUUUUUUUUUUCUAAUCUACUGUAAUUAUUUUCCUUUUGUGCAGAUGGUGGCUUCUGGUACUAAUGAGAGGCCAUCAUUCACCGACCUAGUUAGGGCGACACACACCAGACCAGAUGGAACUUUUGUGGACUACCGUGCUGAAGAGUUGGUUACUCAAGCCGAGAUGGAAGCCACACAACUCUCUAACACUGACGGAUCACCCGGGAGUCCAAGUGCAUCAUCUACUCCUUCUCGCCUCAAGAUAAACAAAGCUUAUCUCUAAAGGUAUCUUUCAUACACUAGGUUUCAGUUGUUUUAUGUUCUGAUUUGUAUGUGGAUUUGGAUGACUUAGAGCUGCUUAAGAAUGUGGUUGGUUAUUUGCGGGUAGAAUUAGAUAUGACUUAGAGCUGUGCAUGUUCUGUUUAUUUACAGUGAAGAAAGCUUUUAUUAAAAUUGUUUUCUGUUAUGUUCAACAGAAUGCUAAGGGUAAGAGGGGGCAUGUUUAUGGACUCGGCAGUGCCCAAUACAGGGAGCAAGCACCUUCUUCACGCGUCCCUAAUGGUCUUGCGCGCAACCUGGAGCUGGAGAUGCGGGUGGGAGGUCUUGAGACAAGCCUCCAAAGUGUGAGGGAGGACGUGUCUGAGGUGAAGCAGGAUGUGUCCGAGAUGAAGCAGGAGUUUGCAUCAACAAGAGAUGCAAUCAAUCAGCUCCUCCAAAUGCUUCGUCCCCCACAAGCACCUACUGAACAGACUUAUGCUCAGCCCCAAGUCCCAACUCCUCAGCCCUAAGUAGGUUCAUGUCUUCUCUUUUGUAACAAAGCUCAUCAAACUCUAGCUCAUCUUUUGUAGAGUCUUCUUAGACUCUUUAAAACUCUUCUUCCUUGUAUAAUUAUCUAAGUUUGUGUAAUAUUGAACCUACUCUUUUAUAUAUAUGCAAUUUCUGUUUUAAUUAUAUGUGCAAUGUUUUAAUAUUUGAAUGAAAAUAUAAAAUUUUGAAUUUGGAAAAUUAAAACAAAUCAAAGAAGAAAACCAUUUACAAAAAUGGUUAUUAACGUGGCUAACCAAUACCACGUUUAUAAAAAAAAAAUCGUGGCUUUUUAAAGCCACGAAUACAUAGUGGCAAAACCGUGGUAACGACAGCCACUUUAAAUAAGUUGUAAAACCGUGGCUAUUAUAGCCACUAAAACUAGCAACGCUAAAGGAGUUAUUAGCGUGGCUAUUUAAGCCACGAAAAGAAGCGUGGGAAAAGCGUGGCUAAUAGCCACGAAAAGCCACGGUUUAGUUCCAGCCACGAGGCUAUAGCCACGGUAAUUCUCCUUUCCAAAACCGUGACUCUUUUCUCCCAAGCCACGAAUUUCUCCUCUAUAGCCACAGAGUUGUAGUGGCUAUGCGAAAGUUUUUUACUAUUGUAUAUUAAUUUUCGGUUGAGAAGAGGAAGAAACUCUGAAAGGAUAAUGAAUUUGCAAGUGUCUGAUUGACCUGGACCAGGGCAGGCUAUCAAGCCCAUAAAAAUCCUAAAAUGAAGUGCAAUUAUAAAAGAAAACCCUAAACUAGUGAGGGGAAGUCGUGGCUUUUAUUUUAGGGGAUUUGCAUUAGAUAGCAAAAAUAUAGAAGAUAAUUAGGUAGAUGGAUAAGACACUGUACUUUUUUUAGGUAAUACCAAGACUGUCCUUAUUUCCAUACAAAAAGCAAAGCAUAGUACAUGUUACACGUCAGACGUGAUUACUUAAAACAGGCGGUUGCACACAAAAAAUGUCAAUAAUGCAAAGAAUCAAGACUUUCUUUCUCUUUUAUGCAAAAAAAACUAAAGGAAUCUGUAAUAAUAUUAUUCCCCGAAUCAUGUCGAUUCCAAGUCACCGUCAUUAAAAUUGGUCUCUUUUCUCUCCUUAUUACAACGACCUUUGUUGUUUCUUUCAUGUGUGUAAUAACGAACAUGUCCCCUGUUUCUUAUGUUUUCUUCAAGCAAAGUUCGUUUCUUUUCUUUCACUUUUGCUUUUGAUUUUUUUUCUCCUAACGAAAGAAAAAGUUUCAGAUUCAAUUCCCGGUUCCUCCAAACAACCUACGGGAAUAGGUGAGUACGAGAAUCGUAAGAUAAGAGAAAAAAUGUUCGCAAAUCUCAGCCAUUACUCAUCUCCACCGGGAUCACCUAACAAAGUCUCUGUAAGUCGACAAAAAUAGUAUUCAGACAAUUAUACUCGAAUCCGGUUUCUAUACUUUGUACGCGGUUUUUAUGUAUAUACUCAAAUCUGGUUUCUAUUAGUUGUACCCGGUUUUUAUGUAUAGGCAACUAUGGUUUCUUUAUCUUGUACCCGGUUUAUGAUGUUUACAUAUUUUGACCUCCAAGUUUCGGACGCCCAUGUGAAUGAAGAAACCUAUUCGGUAUGAAGGUGUGAUCGGAUACGUUAUGAACAGUGACACGAAUCACAGUUGCAACAAAUCUUCUCUUCUCCUCUUCGAAAAUAUCUUAUCCUCACCGAAAAUAUCUUCUCCUCUUCUCUUCACUUCUCCUCUAUGAAAAUAUCUUAUAACUCUUCUCUCACCAAUUUGGAAAAAUAUAACCGAUUUUAUACACUUGUUUACUUUUUCAAUAGGUUCAAAAAUAAAACUGAUAAAUGGUCAUAACUGUCGGUUGCAGGUUACUUGUAUUAUUCAAUCACGUGUGGUUUCGAGGACAGAAUCAGAAAGAGAUGCGCUAAAUGACAAGAUUCUCAAAUUAUUAAAAAGUUUGCAUAGAUCUGCAAUUACCACGCCAAAUUUUGAUAUUGAGCUAAAUAGGCCUUUAUUUUAUCUAUACCUCUUAUCUCUCCGUCGGCGUUUGCAGACCGGAGGUGGGUGAUUUUCAGUCUGUUUAAUUUGUUUGCCUCAGUGUUGAACUAUGUUAGGCUUAGAAGAGAAAGAGAUGAUGAUGAAGAAGGUGAGGAAGGCGACGCCAGAGUUGGCGACUCUAAAACGAUCGUGUGGUGGGACAUGGACAGCUGUCCGCUCCCAAAUGGUUAUGAGCCAAGUCGAGUCGGUCCGAGAAUAGACACGGAGUUGAAGAAUCAAGGUUACAAUGGUCCGCUCACCAUAAUUGGCAUUGGUAACCUGGAAGGAGUCCCUCAUGACUUUCUGAUAGCGCUCUCUUCUGGUGGAGUCGUUAUUAAACAGCUUCCACUAGGUAAAAAAUCAAUCUCUCAAAAAAAAUUUGAAAAAAUCAGAGGUUUAGACUCUCAACUGGCAUUCAGGAUCCGACAUGAUGAGCUGUGUGCGCCGUGCUUUGUUUUCGAGAGAACCUCGUUUUGAACCUCGUCAAUGAUGCUCAUAACUGCCGUCCAUGCCGAGCUAUUGGAAGAUGUCAUUUGCGUGUUUUUUAAUUGUGGCCCCCGUUACAAUCUUCUGCUGGCUUUUCCAGCCGUUACCGAACAUGCAGACCCAGAGCCUCCAACCCUACUAGUCGACAACUUUGGUGGAGAGUGGGUCUGGGAUAGGCUUGGCUUACUGAAAGAUCCAGGGUCUCCCAACUAUGAUACCAGAAGACAGGACACAGGCUGUGAAUCGCAUUGUUGCGGAUUAUGCGACGAUUUUUCUUCCGACAGCUUUGAUGAUUUCAAAGCCCACUUCGACAGUCCCCAACAUGCAGAUAAGAUGCAUGAGUAUCUUAGUUACCUUGCGGGGAGGUUUAAUCGGGUCUUAGAAAAUUUUGAGUCCGCCGUUAGGCUUGAAGAGGCAAGUUUUUCUUCUUUUCUUCUUCUUCAUUCUUAUUAUAAUACCAGAGUUGUUUUUUCACAUAGAGAUAAUAUCUAAUCUCUGACUCCUACUGUUUCAGUCUUAUCUUGCAAAAGUGGAGGCAAAAAGGCGAGAGUUUGUAACGUGGUUCGGCUUGUAUGAUUCUGAUGAUGAGGAUGAUACUCCCAAGCCUCAGAAGGCAAGUUAGAGUUUCUUUUUUUUUUUAAAUACAUAAAUAUAAAUCUUUUUCUCCAUAAAACAACUCGUCAGCUCUACUCAUUAUUUUGUACAGUCCAAAAGGAGCCGCUUGACGAAGCCUAACUUGGCAAGUUUUUUUCUUAACCAAACAUUCUUUACUUUCUUAAUCAAAACCUGAUUUCUCAUUAACAACUGUAUGAUUGCAGGGGAAAAAAUUCAAGGCCGCCCUUCUUUGCAAGGCUUCCUCUCUUAAGAAGAAGGCUACUGCCAAGCCCAAGAAGCCAUCAAAGGCAAGUUUUUCUAACAAAUCUACUGAUUUCUCAUUAACGACUUUGACUUGCAAAGACAUUUUACAUCUCUCUUUUCCCUUGGUUGUUUGCAGUCAAAAAGGUUGGCUAUUGCAGAAGAAGCUGAGUGUUCCCUUCCAAAGAAUGCUGCUACUACCAUGUCCUCUUAAACAUUUUCCUGCCUUGUCUCUUUGUUGUUGUUUUUAACUUUAUGCUAGCUAAAUACUUUUUUAAAUUUCAUCCAUCCGUAUUACUGCAUUGUUUAUUUGCUUCCAUAUAUAAAAUUUUAAUGGGUUCGCGAAUUGGGCUUUUGCCCGACAUAAUACAGUAAAUUAAAGAAUAAUGGUCAAAAAAUUGUAUAAAAGGGCUUCGAACCAGAGAAAAGGUGGGGUCAAUGAACUAAAAACAGACCAAACAAGCCGACGAACUUUCAGCCAACAACAUGGUUGCGAUAUAUAUAUAUUUAACCUCCGUAUGCGCCUCUGAAGCUAUAAGAAGAGGUGAUAACAAUGUUUGCAUACCUGAUCCGGAUUGGCGGUUGAUUCAUUACGUACUGCUUAUAAAAAAAAAAGAUAAUAAGCCCAUAGAAAGUUUAUAUACUCAUGGAAUGGUCUUUCAUUUAUGGAGACAACGUAACAACGUACUACACAACAACGUUCAUCUCUCUCCUCUACAAGUGUUUAAGCUCAUGGACAGAGACAUCAGGAAUGCCAUCACUGCGAGACAGCACAAGAGGAACUUUCGAGGCCUCAUGUGCCUUUGGAUUAGAUGAGUUCUUCUUCUGAUUCCAUAAGUACUGACUUUCUUGUUUUUUAUCUAAUUUUUGUUAAGAAAUAAGUGUGUAAAAGUCUUAGCUUGUUUAGGACAAACUUUUCAUUUAGUUAAAUGAUAUUUACAGUUUAACAAAAAAAAAAGUUUAUAUAAAGUUAAGUUUUAAGAAACCCUAAAUGGUACGUACUGCUUAUAUAUCUACCUCUGUCGGCGUUUCAAAUCCAACGUUUCAAACCUUAAAGUGAUGAUUGUUUGCAUGGUUUUUAGAUUUUAGUUUUUGGUUUUUGGAUUUUAGUUUUUAGUUUUUAGAUUUUGGUUUUAGUUUUUAGUUUUUGAAUUUUCUGUAGAUUUUAGUUUUUCAAAAAGCUUGAUUGGUGACAUUAGAUUUGGUUUUUGUGUUUUUGAAAUAAAUUAUAUUAUAAAUAUAAAAAUUUUCUUCUAAAAACCAUUAAAAACAAAAAAAAUUAUUAUCACUAAAAUAAAUAAAAUUAUAUUAAAAGUUUAUAAAAUAUAUUAUCGAAUAAAAACUAAUAGCUAUAUUUAAAAUAACUUUAAUUAUAUAUCUUCAAAACAAUUAAUAGCUAAUAUAGUAAAAAAAAAAUAAAAAAAAAUUAAAUUUAAAAUAUGGUAAAAAUAGAAUGACUAUUUAAUAAAUAUAUAAUUCUUAUAAUUAGCAGUUAUAAUUAAUUUAAUAGUAUGAAAUAUUAUUUACAUAAUUAUAAAACUAAUUUAGCUAAACAAAACUCCAAUAACUUAAUUUUAAAAAAAUAUUUUUGUGGAACUCGAAAUUACAUGAAUAUAAUCAUCCACCAUUUUUCAUUCUGAAUAAAUUAUAAUUUUAUUUUUCAUUUUUUUCAUUUUAGUGAUUUAUUGGAUAGUUUAAUUGAUAACAUAAUGGUAAACAAAUGUGUGGGAGUUGAGAAAGGAGAUAAACAUGGAAUAACUAUAAAA